UUCGGUGGCGAUAGCGAAGGGGCCACACCCGUUCCCAUCCCGAACACGGAAGUUAAGCCCUUCAGCGCCGAUGGUACUGCUCGGGAAGCUGAGUGGGAGAGUAGGACGCCGCCGGAU
Molecule: non-coding RNA, 117 nt
Organism: Deltaproteobacteria bacterium SG8_13
Lineage: Bacteria; Deltaproteobacteria
Source: Rfam